CGCCUGGGGAGUGCGGCCGCAAGGUUAAAACUCAAAUGAAUUGACGGGGGCCCGCACGAGCGGUGGAGCAUGUGGUUUAAUUCGACGCAACGCGAAGAACCUUACCUGGCCUUGACAUCCAGAGAGCUUUCCAGAGAUGGAUUGGUGCCUUCGGGAACUCUGAGACAGGUGCUGCAUGGCCGUCGUCAGCUCGUGUCGUGAGAUGUUGGGUUAAGUCCCGUAACGAGCGCAACCCCUAUCCCUGGUUGCUAGCAGGUAAUGCUGAGAACUCCAGGGAGACUGCCGGUGACAAACCGGAGGAAGGAGGGGAUGACGUCAGGUCAUCAUGGCCCUUACGGCCAGGGCUACACACGUGCUACAAUGGCGCGUACAGAGGGCUGCCAACUCGCAAGAGUGAGCCAAUCCCUUAAAACGCGUCGUAGUCCGGAUCGGAGUCUGCAACUCGACUCCGUGAAGUCGGAACCGCUAGUAAUCGCGAAUCAGAAUGUCGCGGUGAAUACGUUCCCGGGCCUUGUACACACCGCCCGUCACACCAUGGGAGUGGAUUGCACCAGAAGUAGUUAGUCUAACCUUCGGGAGGACGAUUACCACGGUGUGGUUCAUGACUGGGGUGAAGUCGUAACA
This 624-nucleotide ribosomal RNA is filed under the name uncultured Marinobacter sp. RNAcentral describes it as "bacterial SSU rRNA". It matches the Rfam family "Bacterial small subunit ribosomal RNA", at positions 870 to 1493 of the family's 1533-position model. The record is from RNAcentral. Lineage: Bacteria; Pseudomonadati; Pseudomonadota; Gammaproteobacteria; Pseudomonadales; Marinobacteraceae.